RNA transcript from Rhincodon typus (whale shark), 4029 nucleotides. It is a transcript of the gene named pleiomorphic adenoma gene 1, with no coding region annotated. The transcript has 4 exons. The record is from RefSeq and is a predicted model, not a curated record. NCBI's taxonomy places the organism in Eukaryota, Metazoa, Chordata, Chondrichthyes, Orectolobiformes, Rhincodontidae.
UCAUCAAUUUAGUAUCAAUAACAGUUUGUGUCUAUUCAAGGCAUAUGGCCACUCAUUCACCUCAGAAGACCCACAAGUGUACUUAUUGUGAGAAAAUGUUCCAUCGUAAAGAUCAUCUAAAAAACCAUCUACAGACUCAUGAUCCAAACAAGGAAGCCUUCAAGUGUGAGGAAUGUGGGAAAAACUACAAUACAAAGCUUGGCUAUAAACGUCAUCUGGCUCUGCAUGCUGCAACUAGUGGUGACCUUACCUGUAAAGUGUGCUUACAAACAUUUGAAAGCACAGGAGUGUUACUGGAGCACCUGAGGACACAUGCUGGCAAGUCAUCAAGUGGCACAAAGGAAAAAAAACACCAGUGUGACCACUGUGACCGUUGUUUCUAUACUCGGAAAGAUGUUCGGAGACACAUGGUAGUACACACUGGAAGGAAAGACUUCCUUUGUCAGUACUGUGCCCAGAGAUUUGGUCGGAAGGACCACUUGACACGCCACAUGAAGAAAAGCCAUUCACAGGAGCUGCUGAAGUUCGAAAAGAUACACUUCAGAUAUGUAUCAGUACUUAAAAUUACUAACAGGCCCAUCUGAAUUUAAUUUGGAUUUUUCUUAAUGCCUUCUUGCUGUCACUCAAACCUCAGUGAAGACUCACCACUGUCUCCAUGCUGAAGCCUCUUGUCCACCUGGCAGGGCUAUAAUCGGUUUCCUUUCCACAAACUUCUGCACAUUCGCUCUGUUCAGUUGUUCCUGGACUUUGAAGGACUUUGGAUCCAACUGGGAUGAGAGGCAAGUGAAGUUGAAAAUUAGCCCCAUCACCCAACUGCCUGACUUCUGUUUCCCUUCAGCAUCUGGGCUAUUUUUGUGGAGUCAUCAUUGGAAAAUUUGGCUUUUAGUUUUGUUGUUUAACUGGCAGCAACCAAUUUUUGGUUUGGAGGCAGGCACGAUGGGGUCAAGUUCUCCAGUCAAGCCAAGUGGUCGCCCCAUCUACCCGGGUGUAAGAGCAUCCACAGGGCACCCUGCAGCAGGAUUCUCUCCAACUAACAGUGGCCUAGCUACUGAAUCUGUUUUUUUUACUGAAAGAUGUAAAUAAAUUAGGGUCAGUGUGCCUCCAUAUUGGAAGCUUUCUGUUAUUUAUUUUUCAGUAUUGCCGUUGUUGCUAUUAAACUGGAAUGCCUUUGAUUAGCCCUCCAUUUUUAAGGGACAGUGUACUUCUUUCUGCAGUUUAAGAGGCCAUGAUCAGUUCGCUCUGGGAUAAGCUUGAGUGUAAAAUCUGUCACAAAUCCUAUUUAUUGGUCCCUGAGAGAGAAUGCAAUUCACCCAAUUAAAUGUUUCGUCAUUCACAUUAGUGGGGCUACUGUUUUUACAUUUGCGAAAGAGUUAGCACUUGGGUUUUGAUGCAUACAUUAGAGUUUUGAACUAUGACUAAGCAGCACCUAGGAUUUAGCUCUUAGUUGGACAUUUACUGAACAAUCUGAUUGGACAUACUGUAUCCAAUGUAUUAUUCAGCAAAUGCUAAUGGAAGAUUUGUGUUUCUAAUCCCUUCCCACCACUAGAUUUUUCAGUAGAUUAUUCAAACAGGAGAAGAUUAUCUAUUGUCCUUUCCUUAAAAAAAAAUGAAGUCCAUUAACUGCAGAAAGUGCAGCAGUUCUAAUUUUUAAAUAGAGGUCCUUUUAAAAAUAUUCAAAAGAUAAUGCAGAAUUUCAUAGAUCCCAAUUGAAAGUUUUGUUUUUUUUUGAGGAAGGUACAUGGAAUUAGAAUAUUAGUGCAUAGCAUUAUUUAUAAACUUAAAUCAACAAUCUAUAUUACAUUGUCUAAGAAACCAAACAAAUGUUCUAGUCAGUUUUGUUUUCAUAAAGCCCAAUAUUGCAUAUAUGGACAUUAUAGGGGCACUUUUGAAAAUGUGCAUUCUUGUUAAGGCAUUUCAUUUGCCAGAAGUAUUCAGUGAAUUGAGAUAUAUAUUGUACAUGAUAUUUCAAUUAUUACUUCAUUGUAAAUAUUUGAGAAUGUAGUACAUGAAACAAAAUGUACAGUAUGUUCUUUCAAAAAUUGAGUUUUUGUGUCGGCAAUAUCAAGUUGGAAAAUGUCUCAUAUUUGAAACUGUAGUUAGACUUCCUUCCUCAGGCUGAGCACCUGAAACUUUGCAGCAUAGCUGAAAGAGGAAUGGCGAUAGGAUAGCCAGUGGGUAAAUGGUUUACAAAUGUCCAUGAGUAUUUUGCACACAAUCUGUAUAUGGAAUGACGAAUCCAAAUUGGUUAGCCAACUAAAAGAAAGGGCACUUCUUUACAUCAGAAAUGCUUCUAUUUAAGUACACCUUCUGACUUAAAUUUAAACAAGAGAAAACUUUGUUUUUGAGGAUUUCUUCUUUAGAAUAAAUAGAACAACUAAUUAAGCUGUCUCGAAGAAAAACCCACCACACAAUUGGAGGGAAAAAUUUCAAAGGUGGGCAACUAAUUUAACCCAUCCUGUGUUAAUUGACAAGUCGUCUCAUUUUGAGAAUAAAAAAAAUCCCAUAAAUAAAAUAACAUAGAUGCUGUUUUUAAUUCCUACAUUCAAAUUGCCUCUAACUUUGAAUUUAAAUCUGUGAACUUUAAACAGUUAACUUUUUAGAAGUUAUUUUAUUUUUCAAAUGUCAACUAAAGCACAAGUGCAUGCUGCUUGAGAAGUGGAAUUUUCAUAAAAUCUUAGAUGUAUUUUUUUCAUUUGUGCAAAAUUCCUUUUUUAUAGAUGCGCAACAUCAACAUGUUUUAUCUAUUGUUACAACACACGAGUAUAUAGUGAAUUAUGUAACAUGUAGCCUUGUCUGCAGAAUGUGCAAAAUAACCUAUAUUUUUAGCACUUUCUUUAUCCUUUUACCUUCAGUGUCUUUGAAGGUUGUACAGUUAACAAUCAUUACAAACUUGUUUCAAGUGCCGUUAGAUUUCAUAUUCUAAUAUUCAAGCAUUAGAUAUAAAACAAUCUUGUACAUAUUUUACUUUUCUAUUUAACUUUUAGCAGGUACAAAUACUAUAGUGUUUCUUUUUGUAAAAAAAAAGUCAUAUUUGCAAAGACAAGAAAGUAAACACAUGGAUGAAUUAUUGUUACAUCUCAACUGAAGUAAAUUCAAUGGGGGAAUACCUGUGCAACACUUUUUGAAGUUAUAUACUUGCUGCUAUUUCACUUUGUUUAAAUGAAACCAGUUCUCAUGGUGCUGUGAACUUUCCAUUUCUUAGUUUAUUACUGUGAUUAUGUACUGCAGUUACCAACAUGUAGAAAAUCUGCAGUAACCUGAAUACUAUUAACACUUCUAAAUGUCAUGGCCUUCGUAUGAAGCCACAAUACAUUAUGCAGUUGAGGCAAAACAAAACUGUUUGAUUUUUGAUCAGAUCUUAAAGCCAUCAAGAAUUGGUAUUCCUUCAGACUCUACAUAGUGGAGGUUUGCUGGAACCACGUGAAUUCUAAUGAAUUUAAAGUGAAAAUAUUGUUGAACAUUGUACGUUCUACCUAAAGUGUUGUUACAUCUAUUGCUCAGCAUUUGUCCGUUCUCAUAACUGAAAAAUACCAAUGGUUUGCACCCCCACCCCCACAGUUUGCAUCACUGAACUGCAAAGUUUAAGCAGAUUGAGUGAAUGUUAAGAAAUGUAAACAGUAUUAGAUAUUUAUGUAAUUCAUUUUAAAGCAUAUUUUAGUUUGUCAAAAAGUGGUGGAAUAGCAGAAGGUAACUGCAUUCCAAAUUAGACUUAUGUACUUGUUGCAUUUCAACAUUUGUUAUCCUGUUCACAAUAGAAGCAUGUUGCUUACAAUGUACAUAAUUAUCAAUGUAUUUACGUACUACUGGUAUCUGUGCAAAUGUAGGCAUGUACGAUAGUGUUCAAAACUAAAGCUGCAGUAAACAUUUUAGAAUUUAAUCUUUACAUCCAAAGAAAUGCUUUAAAAGCAAACAUUAUUUAUUGUGCCAGAUAAUCUGCAUUUUUAUAAGCAAAUUUACUAUAAUAAAACAGUUCUGCUGCAGCUCCAUUUGGUCUAAAGUGUAUUAGUAUCCAUAAACAUUGGAUUGAAA